This 464-nucleotide ribosomal RNA is filed under the name uncultured bacterium. Its description in RNAcentral is "partial 16S ribosomal RNA". It matches the Rfam family "Bacterial small subunit ribosomal RNA", at positions 28 to 507 of the family's 1533-position model. The record is from RNAcentral.
GACGAACGCUGGCGGCGUGCUUAACACAUGCAAGUCGUACGGUAAGGCCCUUUCGGGGGUACACGAGUGGCGAACGGGUGAGUAACACGUGAGUAACCUGCCCACAACUUUGGGAUAACGCUAGGAAACUGGUGCUAAUACUGGAUAUGUGCUCCUGCUGCAUGGUGGGGGUUGGAAGCUCCGGCGGUUGUGGAUGGACUCGCGGCCUAUCAGCUUGUUGGUGGGGUAGUGGCCUACCAAGGCGGCGACGGGUAGCCGGCCUGAGAGGGUGACCGGCCACAUUGGGACUGAGAUACGGCCCAGACUCCUACGGGAGGCAGCAGUGGGGAAUAUUGCACAAUGGGCGCAAGCCUGAUGCAGCAACGCCGCGUGCGGGAUGACGGCCUUCGGGUUGUAAACCGCUUUCAGCAGGGACGAAGCUUUUUGCGACGGUACCUGCAGAAGAAGCACCGGCUAACUACGUG